Long non-coding RNA from Patella vulgata (common limpet), 484 nucleotides. RefSeq lists it as uncharacterized. The transcript is spliced from 3 exons. The record is from RefSeq and is a predicted model, not a curated record. Lineage: Eukaryota; Metazoa; Mollusca; Gastropoda; Patellidae.
UUUUUAACCGCAUUUACUAAGGUACUCACCAGAAUUCUCAAAAUGGUAUCCAGCGUCAUCGCCUUUCUCGCCCUUGUUUCCGUAGCUGCUGCCGUUCCUUACGGUGGUAUGAUGGGAUACGGUAUGGGCGGCAUGGGAUAUGGUAUGGGCGGCAUGGGAUAUGGUAUGGGCGGCAUGGGAUAUGGCAUGGGCGGCAUGGGAUAUGGUCUCGGCGGAAUGGGAUAUGGUAUGGGCGGCAUGGGAUAUGGUCUCGGCGGAAUGGGAUAUGGUAUGGGCGGCAUGGGAUAUGGCAUGGGAUUAGGCGGCAUGGGAUAUGGAGGAAUGGGUAUGAUGAAAGGAUAUGGUAUGGGCGGCAUGGGAAUGGGUUUAGGUAAAAUGUAUGGUAAAUAAGAAGUUACAGCCACCACUCUAAGGACUGGAUUUGAUGACGGACCGGCAACGUUUCAAGACAUGAGCUAUACACGUGUAUUUUGUUCAACAUACU